GACGAACGCUGGCGGCGUGCCUAAUACAUGCCAGUUGAGCGCUGAAGGUUGGUACUUGUACCAACUGGAUGAGCAGCGAACGGGUGAGUAACGCGUGGGGAAUCUGCCUUUGAGCGGGGGACAACAUUUGGAAACGAAUGCUAAUACCGCAUAAAAACUUUAAACACAAGUUUUAAGUUUGAAAGAUGCAAUUGCAUCACUCAAAGAUGAUCCCGCGUUGUAUUAGCUAGUUGGUGAGGUAAAGGCUCACCAAGGCGAUGAUACAUAGCCGACCUGAGAGGGUGAUCGGCCACAUUGGGACUGAGACACGGCCCAAACGCCUACGGGAGGCAGCAGUAGGGAAUCUUCGGCAAUGGACGAAAGUCUGACCGAGCAACGCCGCGUGAGUGAAGAAGGGUUUCGGAUCGUAAAACUCUGUUGGUAGAGAAGAACGUUGGCGAGAGUGGAAAGCUCAUCAAGUGACGGUAACUACCCAGAAAGGGACGGCUAACUACGUG
RNAcentral lists this ribosomal RNA (497 nucleotides) under uncultured bacterium. RNAcentral describes it as "partial 16S ribosomal RNA". It matches the Rfam family "Bacterial small subunit ribosomal RNA", at positions 28 to 507 of the family's 1533-position model. The record is from RNAcentral.